Molecule: long non-coding RNA, 114 nt
Organism: Lolium rigidum
Lineage: Eukaryota; Viridiplantae; Streptophyta; Magnoliopsida; Poales; Poaceae
Exons: 2
Source: RefSeq, a predicted model, not a curated record
ACGGAAGAUUUCGACAUGUUUGCCUCCAUCAUCAGGAGGGUGGAGAGCUUGCGCAAGCUCGGAAAUAGUUUCAAAAUCAACAAGAGCUGAACUGGGGUCAGCAAUAUUGCUUUA